GACGAACGCUGGCGGCGUGCUUAACACAUGCAAGUCGAACGGAAAGGCCCUGCUUGCAGGGUACUCGAGUGGCGAACGGGUGAGUAACACGUGGGUGAUCUGCCCUGCACUUCGGGAUAAGCCUGGGAAACUGGGUCUAAUACCGGAUAGGAGCCAUUUUUAGUGUGAUGGUUGGAAAGUUUUUUUCGGUGUAGGAUGAGCUCGCGGCCUAUCAGCUUGUUGGUGGGGUAAUGGCCUACCAAGGCGGCGACGGGUAGCCGGCCUGAGAGGGUGGACGGCCACAUUGGGACUGAGAUUCGGCCCAGACUCCUACGGGAGGCAGCAGUGGGGAAUAUUGCACAAGGGGCGCGAGCCUGAUGCAGCGACGCCGCGGGGGGGAUGACGGCCUUCGGGUUGUAAACUCCUUUCGCUAGGGACGAAGCUUUUUGUGACGGUACCUAGAUAAGAAGCACCGGCUAACUACGUG
This 466-nucleotide ribosomal RNA is filed under the name uncultured bacterium. RNAcentral's name for it is "partial 16S ribosomal RNA". It matches the Rfam family "Bacterial small subunit ribosomal RNA", at positions 28 to 507 of the family's 1533-position model. The record is from RNAcentral.